RNAcentral lists this ribosomal RNA (305 nucleotides) under uncultured bacterium. Its description in RNAcentral is "bacterial SSU rRNA". It matches the Rfam family "Bacterial small subunit ribosomal RNA", at positions 333 to 636 of the family's 1533-position model. The record is from RNAcentral.
AUGGUCCUACGGGGGGCAGCAGUGAGGAAUAUUGGUCAAUGGGCGCGAGCCUGAACCAGCCAAGUCGCGUGAGGGAAGACGGUCCUAUGGAUUGUAAACCUCUUUUGUCGGAGAACAAAACCCGGGACGUGUCCCGGACUGCGUGUAUCCGAAGAAAAAGCAUCGGCUAACUCCGUGCCAGCAGCCGCGGUAAUACGGAGGAUGCGAGCGUUAUCCGGAUUUAUUGGGUUUAAAGGGUGCGCAGGCGGAGGUGCAAGUCAGUGGUCAAAUUGCGGGGCUCAACCCCGUACUGCCGUUGAAACUGC